UACGUAGGGUGCGAGCGUUGUCCGGAAUUAUUGGGCGUAAAGGGCUCGUAGGCGGUUUGUCACGUCAGGAGUGAAAACUCGGGGCUCAACCCCGAGCCUGCUUCUGAUACGGGCAGACUGGAGGUAUGCAGGGGAGAACGGAAUUCCUGGUGCAGCGGUGAAAUGCGCAGAUAUCAGGAGGAACACCGGUGGCGAAGGCGGUUCUCUGGGCAUUACCUGACGCUGAGGAGCGAAAGUGUGGGGAGCGAACAGG
RNAcentral lists this ribosomal RNA (253 nucleotides) under uncultured bacterium. Its description in RNAcentral is "partial 16S ribosomal RNA". It matches the Rfam family "Bacterial small subunit ribosomal RNA", at positions 524 to 776 of the family's 1533-position model. The record is from RNAcentral.